Molecule: ribosomal RNA, 465 nt
Filed under: uncultured bacterium
Lineage: Bacteria
Description: partial 16S ribosomal RNA
Rfam family: Bacterial small subunit ribosomal RNA
Source: RNAcentral
CUACGGGUUGCACCAGUGAGGAGUUUUGCGCAAUGGGGGAAACCCUGACGCAGCAACGCCGCGUGAGCGAAGAAGGCCUUCGGGUCGUAAAGCUCUGUCAAGUGGGAAAAACGUUUUCCGGUGAAUAGCCGGGAGAUCUGAUGGUACCAUUGAAGGAAGCACCGGCGAACUCCGUGCCAGCAGCCGCGGUAAUACGGAGGGUGCAAGCGUGUGUUCGGAAUUAUUGGGCGUAAAGAGCGUGUAGGCGGUUUAGUAAGUCAGAUGUGAAAGCCCCGGGCUCAACCUGGGAAGUGCAUUUGAAACUGCUUUACUGGAGUAUGGGAGAGGAGAGUGGAAUUCCUGGUGUAGAGGUGAAAUUCGUAGAUAUCAGGAGGAACAUCUGUGGCGAAGGCGACUCUCUGGACCAAUACUGACGCUGAGACGCGAAAGCGUGGGUAGCAAACAGGAUUAGAUACCCGCGUAGUC